AUUUUUUUUUUCGGUUUUUCUAUGCCUUAGAUGAAUGCAGACUCAAAAUUAUACACAAUGCAACACACACUUCCUGAGCCCUCCCCCAAACUUAAAUCACACAGUCCACUGUGUGAAUAAACUUGGAAGAGAGUACUCAGGACAAAUCCAAUCACAGAAACAAAAAAGGAAGAAACAAAUCACAACAGACGGUAUAAUACAAUGGUGAAGUGAGGCGCUUACCUUAGUCGAAGAAUGAACGUAGUUGCUCGUCAAUGGCUGCCUGCGAUUGCUCCCAGGCCAUAGACGAACCUCCUUGUUCUGUAUCAGCUCCAGCAGAUGGGUACUCGACCUCAUCAGCUCUGUGGCGGCCAGCACCGCUCUGAGGAAACUUGACCUCUCUCCUUCUGCUGCGGCCAGCACCGCGGUCGAGUGAUCUCCUCGAGUGAAUGAGGCGUGAUCUGCUGCUAGAUCGAGUGAGUGUAGCCUUCCUUCUUCUCUUGUGUUCCCGGGAUUCGAAUGACGAAUGCCUAGCCUGGACAUGUGGGACUCUCUGCUCGCUAAGCUCAGGCCUGUGCGUAGGUGCAUUAAUUCUCCUCGAUGGCAUUUCCAUAGGAGGUUGUACCUGUGGAAUAGCAGUGGUGGAGGAAGAGCAACUCAGCUUGUCUGUCAGAAGCUUGAAACACUUGGCGAUCAGCCUGUCCUGCUUCUUGCACCACUUCUGCAAUUUACUGUUAUUCUUAUGAGCUUCAGUCAAGCUCUUGCUCUGCCUCGCUGGAGGUACAUGUUCAGCAAAGUGAUACAUGCUAGUGUCGAACUUUACUGCUCCAUCUUCAUCCAUCCCAUCCGAAGCAGCUUCUUCAAGAAGAUCGUCCUCAUCUAAUGGUGGAGCGUUCUCAUAGUAGAGGCGUCCAAUCUCAGGCCUAAAAUCAAUGUUAUCUCUCUCGAUUAUCCGUGUGACCUCAGGGCUAGGGAGAAGGAUGUUAGCUCUCCUGUCUGUAGAGUGCUCAAACCUGAACCUGUGGAAAUCGUCAACCAUUGCAAACUCCAGGAAUUCGCAGUGACGUAGGUGCUCGAUAUCCAUUGCUCGUGGCUCGAGUCCAGCAGAAAUGAGUGGGACUCCACAAGCUAUCAGAAUAGGUGUCACCACGCCACCUAUGCACAGAGCGCCUCGUGCUCUCUUGCGGUUAUUGCUGACCGCCCAGUUUUUGUAUCCACACAGAUGGAUCAGAAGAAGUAUAGAGAGAGGUGUGUUAUUGACUUCACCCUGGAGGGACAUGCCAUUUUUAGUUUGGCGGAGAGUUCCUUUGAGGGCCAUUGCGAUCAUCUCCAUAUCAGAGUUAGUGACAGUCCCUGUAAUCUCUCGGGAGUAGAGUACGUUGGCUACAGAACGCUGGAAGUACCUGAUGACAGGGCUGCGUAUCUGAUUGCUCUUUGACCUGGAAGCAUUCAACGGUACAGAGCUGCCGAUGGUGAUCCACAAGUCUUUCAACUCUUCUCUUUCAUACUUUGGCUUAGAUCCCGUUCCACUGGGAAAAUCAAACAAUCCUUCCAAUCGCUUGAUUGAUAACCUGUACUCAUGACCAUACACAGAAAAUCGCAAGAAUCCCAAUCCUUCACAAUCCAACUCAUCAGAGGUCAUACCUUGGUAGAGCUCUACUUGUAGUGUGGAGAGGAAUUGUAUUGUCUCAUCUUCAUAUGCUACAUACAGAUAAGCCAUCAAAGUGUCCAGAUGACAACUUUGGUACAGGUGCUGAACAUCUUCCAACAAUCCGAGUUGUGCAAGUGAGGUCGAGCAAGGAUACCUCGUGCUACUGAACUCAUUCAGCUUGAAAAGCCUAACAUAUUCCUCAGCAGGCAAUAUGUCGGGCUUGUGCAGAAGUUUGGUAGCUCUGCGAGUCUGUUCAGGCAUGUACUCGUCCUCCAGAUCUUCGUCUAUAAGCUCAUACCUCUCUCUCAUCGUUCUCUUUCCUCGGGCUAUCUCAGCUUUCCUUCUGAAACUUUCGUAUUCUCUCUGUUCUCUCUCUGGCCUUGAAGAUGACGAUUCUGUCUCAUCCAUGUUGUAGUCAGGAUCAACAGAAGAACUGCCACUGUAAUUGCUCAUGAUUCUCCUGUAGGGAUUUAGAACUCAAAGCUCAAAUGUCAAUAGGUUAGUCUCAAAGAUAGCAAUGAAACAAAAUUAUUGUCAAUAGGCAAUGAAACAGAUUGAAAAGGUCGAGUACAAUUCCGUACUCGAGUAACCUGAGCUGUUCCUGAGCUUAGAUGAAAUGGAUCGAGUAUCUUCUCAGAGGUCGAGUUGUGGUGCUUCAGUGGGUCGAGUGAAUCGUAGAGAUAGAGUGAAUCGUGAAAGCUAGUGGUCGAGUAGCUUCUCUGAAGUUGGAAGGCUCUACUGAGUUCACGAACAAGAAGCCGAGUAUAAUAUUGCAGGGGUCGAGUGCUUUUAGGAGGUCGAGUGAUUUCUUGAAGUCGGCUAGGACGGCGUCGGUCGAGUGCCUCGACGAGACCGGGAAGCGAGGUCGAUCGGUUUCUUUUGAAAGAGAUGACGGUUGAUGCGAAUGAAUUGGUCGAGUAUAUGGAAGGAAUCGAGUGAAGUGGUUUGGUCGGUUGACGGAGUGGAUGGGCUGGUGACGGCGCGAGGGAGUGGUCGAGUGAAUUUCUCAGUGGUCGAGUAGCUCUUUGGGCGGCGAUUUGUGGUGUAGGGAGAUUAGAGUGUCGGCGGUGAAAUGAAAAGUGGAAGGUCGAGUGGAUUUGGAGUGGUCGAGUAGCGCUUCAAAAUGAGUGGUCUAGGUUGAGUUUUAGAUUCUCUCUCUAGCUUAUCCUCAGCGCGUGGUCCACACACUGUUGAUUGAGAAAAUUUCUUUGCAGAAAACCUACUGUAAACUGUAGGAGAUUUCUGCAGGUCUCUGUAGCUUCUGUUGGUCGAGUAAAAUGAUGAUUUAAAAUUUUUGGGUUUUAAACAUCACAUAUGCUCGACCAAUGUACUCGAGUGCAGGGUCUCAGGUGCAACAGAAAAUUUUCAAAAUUUUGUACUCCAACGGGCUGUACACUCGAUCUCCAGGUCUUCGACAGAGUAAAAGUUUUAAAUUUUUACUCUAUCUCCGCGUUGUUCUCUUGUCUCUGAAAACCACAAACACAACUAAAACAAAUCAAAAAUAUCAAGAAGGUAAAAAUUAUUUACAAGGAUAGUCAUGGGACUUCCUCCCAAGUGAGCUUGUUUAAAGUCAUUAGCUUGACUCCUUUACUCCUUUAAUCAUCAAGAAGCUCCUGGAGAUGAACCGAUGUCACCUCUGGAAGGAUUUGGUCCGCUAAGUAUUUCUUGAGCCUUUGACCAUUUACUGUAAAAUCUCCACUCUUACCAGCUAGAGUGACUGCUCCAUAAGGACGGACCUCAGUGAUGUAGAAGGGGCCAGACCAUCUGGAUUUAAGUUUUCCUGGAAAGAGUUUCAAGCGAGAGUUGAAUAGCAGCACCUGAUCACCAACCUGGAAAUCUUUAGUGAUGAUCUUCUUGUCAUGGAAAAGCUUGGUUCUCU
This 3509-nucleotide small RNA is filed under the name Arabidopsis thaliana (thale cress). RNAcentral describes it as "ATSL203370". The record is from RNAcentral. Lineage: Eukaryota; Viridiplantae; Streptophyta; Magnoliopsida; Brassicales; Brassicaceae.